RNAcentral lists this long non-coding RNA (1410 nucleotides) under Pan troglodytes (chimpanzee). RNAcentral describes it as "long non-coding RNA NONPTRT016057". Lineage: Eukaryota; Metazoa; Chordata; Mammalia; Primates; Hominidae. The record is from RNAcentral.
CGCGGCGGGAGCGCGCGUGUGCGGGACGCAGCGCGGGGGAUGCGCGCGGGCCGCGGAGGCGCCGCAGCCAACAGGCGGCCGAGGGUGCAGCCGCGGGAGCGCCACCGCCAGUGGGGUGGGGGGCAAAGCUGUAAAGAAGGCCCAGAGGAUUCCUGCGGAGCUGUAUUUACUUUACAUCCAUGUGAACUGCUGUCAUCACUACUGUGUCCAAGCCCAGAGGAUGAACUGGAAAAGAAGAGAGGGGGAAAAUAAUAAAAAGAGGAAAUUGGUUUUCACAACACACUCAAAGCCUGAGUAACAGAGGAGAACUUUAAUUAUCUCCAGUCACAAAGAGAGACAGGAAAUUUGGACUUUUAAUUAGCCAUUUGGAGUGCAGUUGGAUAUUUUUUUAGCUAGAUAAUUUAAAUGCGAAUAAUUCAAGUCUGACUAAAUGAAAGUCACAUAAUCAGAAUGCAAAUAAUUGAAUUUCUACUGCAUUCAUUAAUUCAGUGUGGAGGUGUGUGUGAAGACUACUAUGAUGAGCUGUCACAGCUCAAUAAAAUCUCAGUCAAUUAAUUUUUUCAUUAUCUUAGUAUUACAUCAACAAAAAAGUGAAGUGUGUAUAUGUAUCUAUACACAUGCAUAUGUGCAUACUAUGUAUUAUAUAAAUACAUAUACAUUAAAUCAAAAUGCAAGGAAAUACCUUUCUGAAUCAUAAUCUAUAUCAUUUUCUUUUUUUCCUUCUUCAUCUUCUUCAGGGAAACGUCUGUUCAUUAAGGCAAACUUGUGAAUUGCUUCUUCCACAGAGUACUUAGUCUGCCCAGAAACACACGCCUCAAUGUCUUCUGAAUUCAGAUGGCUCUGUAAGAAGAGGUGAAGGCUGCUAUCUGAAAGCAAAAGUGCAUUCUGUAGGACUCUAUAUUAAAAAAAAAAAAGGAAAAAUAAUUGGUGAACAGGAUGGUCAGUGAUAGGGUAGAAGAAAGAAAAACAUUAGAAAUGUACCACUGAAGGUAAUUUCUCUACUGUGGUAAACUUUGUAUCAAUUAUGGGCUCUGCCCAUUAAGGGGAGGAAAGCAUAUGUUAACUUUUAUUCAAUUAUUUGGAAAUUUAGGUGGGUAAAAACAUGAAGCUAAUAGUUAAGAACAUCUGUUAAAAGAAUAACUUCAAGGACAUUUCUUCAAUUUACCCAUCUGUUAUUACCAUGUGGAUUAAUUAUGGAAAUAUUUUGCUUAUAUAGUCAUAGAAAGUUACUCUACUUUAAAAAAUUUACUGCCAACAGCAUGUCAAUUCAGUGAUCUUUAUGGGAUAGGCUGUCAUGAAACAUCAAAACUUUCAACUACUAUUAAAAAUUAUAUGAAGAAAAUACAAUUCUCAGCAUAUUUUACAUUUUAAAACUUUACAAGUAUAGUUAUAUACUUAAGGGCAUGUUUA